This 744-nucleotide ribosomal RNA is filed under the name uncultured bacterium. RNAcentral's name for it is "bacterial SSU rRNA". It matches the Rfam family "Bacterial small subunit ribosomal RNA", at positions 561 to 1307 of the family's 1533-position model. The record is from RNAcentral.
UGUAGGGUGCGUAGGCGGCAGUGCAAGUCAGGUGUGAAAACUAUGGGCUUAACCCAUAGAUUGCACUUGAAACUGUGUUGCUUGAGUGAAGUAGAGGCAAGCGGAAUUCCCGGUGUAGCGGUGAAAUGCGUAGAGAUCGGGAGGAACACCAGUGGCGAAGGCGGCUUGCUGGGCUUUAACUGACGCUGAGGCACGAAAGCGUGGGUAGCAAACAGGAUUAGAUACCCUGGUAGUCCAUGCUGUAAACGAUGAUUACUAGGUGUGGGUGGACUGACCCCAUCCGUGCCGGAGUUAACACAAUAAGUAAUCCACCUGGGAAGUACGACCGCAAGGUUGAAACUCAAAGGAAUUGACGGGGGCCCGCACAAGCAGUGGAGUAUGUGGUUUAAUUCGAAGCAACGCGAAGGACCUUACCAGGUCUUGACAUCCAACUAAUCCUGUAGAAAUACAGGAGUGCCCUUCGGGGAAAGUUGAGACAGGUGGUGCAUGGUUGUCGUCAGCUCGUGUCGUGAGAUGUUGGGUUAAGUCCCGCAACGAGCGCAACCCUUGUGAUUAGUUGCUACGUAAGAGCACUCUAAUCAGACCGCCGUUGACAAAACGGAGGAAAGGUGGGGAUGACGUCAAAUCAUCAUGCCCUUUUAUGAUCUGGGCUACACACGUACUACAAUGGCCAUCAACAGAGGGAAGCAAAACCGCGAGGCAGAGCAAACCCCUAAAAAUGGUCUCAGUUCGGAUCGCAGCUGA